Molecule: ribosomal RNA, 498 nt
Filed under: uncultured bacterium
Lineage: Bacteria
Description: partial 16S ribosomal RNA
Rfam family: Bacterial small subunit ribosomal RNA
Source: RNAcentral
AUUGAACGCUGGCGGCAUGCCUUACACAUGCAAGUCGAACGGUAACGCGGGGCAACCUGGCGACGAGUGGCGAACGGGUGAGUAAUGCAUCGGAACGUGCCCGGUAGUGGGGGAUAACUGCUCGAAAGAGCAGCUAAUACCGCAUACGACCUGAGGGUGAAAGGGGGGGAUCGCAAGACCUCUCGCUAUCGGGGCGGCCGAUGUCGGAUUAGCUAGUUGGUGGGGUAAAAGCCCACCAAGGCGACGAUCCGUAGCUGGUCUGAGAGGACGACCAGCCACACUGGGACUGAGACACGGCCCAGACUCCUACGGGAGGCAGCAGUGGGGAAUUUUGGACAAUGGACGCAAGUCUGAUCCAGCCAUGCCGCGUGCGGGAAGAAGGCCUUCGGGCUGUAAACCGCUUUUGUCAGGGAAGAAAUCUUCUGAGUUAAUACCUCGGGAGGAUGACGGUACCUGAAGAAUAAGCACCGGCUAACUACGUGCCAGCCGCCGCCGUAA